RNAcentral lists this ribosomal RNA (406 nucleotides) under uncultured bacterium. Its description in RNAcentral is "partial 16S ribosomal RNA". It matches the Rfam family "Bacterial small subunit ribosomal RNA", at positions 30 to 526 of the family's 1533-position model. The record is from RNAcentral.
AUUGAACGCUGGCGGCAGGCCUAACACAUGCAAGUCGAACGAGUGGCGGACGGGUGAGUAAUGUCCGGGAAACUGCCCGCUGGAGGGGGAUAAAUACUGUAAACGGUACUUCAUACCGCAUACCAUCAGAUGUGCCCAGGUGGGAUUAGCUAGUUGGUGGGGUAACGGCUCACCAGGGCGACGAUCCCUAGCUGGUCUGAGAGGAUGACCAGCCACACUGGAACUGAGACACGGUCCAGACUCCUACGGGAGGCAGCAGUGGGGAAUAUUGCACAAUGGGCGCAAGCCUGAUGCAGCCAUGCCGCGUGUGUGAAGAAGGCCUUCGGGUUGUAAAGUACUUUCAGCGGGGAGGCGUUACCCGCAGAAGAAGCACCGGCUAACUCCGUGCCAGCAGCCGCGGUAAUUC